Triticum aestivum (bread wheat) is the source of this 2225-nucleotide long non-coding RNA. RefSeq lists it as uncharacterized. Lineage: Eukaryota; Viridiplantae; Streptophyta; Magnoliopsida; Poales; Poaceae. The record is from RefSeq and is a predicted model, not a curated record. The transcript has 3 exons.
GCAGGAAAAGGUGUGGCAAAUCCUCAAAUUCCCCCCUAAAAAAACCUUUUCUCGAAGUUAAAGCACUGGUGCCUCUUCGUCUCUAUCAUCUCCGUCAAUCCUCUUCUCAAAACAAAAAAUCUCCGUCAAUCCUAGCCUGCUCAUGACCACAUCCACAUACACCAGUGCCUUAAAUAAGGAUCCGCCGAAGGAAGAUUUCACUGCUGGCUUAUGCGAAACUAAUUCCCGACCUAUCCAGGCGCUACUUCUUGUCUCUUAUCUUCAAUUUUUUUGUUUUGGCGCUGUCCUCAAACCCUAGCUCUGCUGAUCUUAGGUUGGGCAUAAAGCUGCGACGAACCCGUGUGUGUAGGUCUCAGCUCAUUGGCGCGAGUUCUCGCCUUCCUCAUUUCUGGUGCGGUCGGCCCUCCGCCAAUAAUGAAGUAGAGAUGCCGAAGCAGAUUUUGAAGAAAUAGUAAUACAGGAUAUGUGUCUGCUGGCUGAGCCCAGUUGUGGGCCUCCUCGUUGUUUAUGAUGUCGGGUUUCCACCUACGUAAUUUGCUACAGCUUCACAUCAUUCCUACUUCCUCCAUAGCAGGUGAUUCUUCACAUGUAUUAACAUCAUUUUUGUCGUAAAAAAGUGGCGAUUUCAUAUCUUAUAAGAAGUCUCAUGCAUUACCUCACUUGCCUAGUUUUUGCGCCUCAUUUCAGUAAGUUCUUGCAAUGUUCUCCUCUUGUAAAACACUUGUUCUUCUAGUGAAAAAUUAGUUGAUUAAUAGUAAAAAAUAGUCUCCCAUGCAUGUCAAGAAUUUCCCAAGUUUUGGUAUAUCUUGAUCUGUAUGUAUUUUUGUGGCACUGGUUGACUUUAAGCACGACCAUGUUUAUCAAUGAAAAAUCUGUUAGAUAUAUCUUUGGUAAAAAAAUAGAAGAGCUAGUAACAUUAAUGAACUUAUUGAACUUCUGCACCAUUGUGAGGUCACAAUAAGGACAGUUUGGUUUCACAUGCUUCAUUUGGUUGAGUAAUCCAAUGACAUCUGUAAAAUUGGAGAUUAAUUAUUUGAAAGUCUAAAAUAUUAAUAUUUUGAAAUCUCAUUUACAACUAUAAAUUAUAGAGAUACCUGAGCAUUCUUCAUCUUUCUCUAUAUGUUCUUCUAAUAUUUCCUCCGUAGCAAACUCGAAGUAGUAAUCUGGGUAACCUUUGAUUCUUUCACCUCCUGUACUUUUGUAUUGUAUGCAAAAAUAAUUAUAUUUCACUACUUAGCUGGUAAUACUUUGUGGAAUCCGCACUUAAAAUUCCUAAAUGCAUAAGUUGAUUCUAUCAACUUCCCGAUAGUAUCCUGAUUUGUUUGGCCCUGUUAGAAAAAUCAAAAUAUAGUAAGUAGUUAUUGUAUAAAAAAAUAGAAAAACUUGCAAGUCAAUAUGUAAUGACAAAACCUUAUCAUCCAUGAAUAUCAUAUCGGCAAAAUAUACUUAGUUGUUGUAUAAAACAAUAGAACAAUCUGUAAGUAAAUACGUAAUGACUAAACAUUUUUGUCCAUGAAUCAUCAUAUCGAGGCUCCUAAGCCAAUGACUUAUAAAAUUGAUUGAAUCUCAUAUUCCCAUUACUUGCACUUGAAUGUCAAGGUCGUUCUUUUGCUAUGAACUCACAAAGAUUGUUGUAUGCCCUUGCUGCAAAAGGAUCAUACAAUUGCUAGUCAAUUAAUAUUGUACCUAUGAAUAUUUUAUCCAGAAUAACAAUUACAAACCUUGAUGCUCCAAAUGAGAGGCCACUCGAAAGAUAGAUUUGAUCUAGAAUAGAAGUUAUGAAACCUUGAUGAUCUAGAUGAGAGGCCACUCGAAAGAUAGAUUUGAUCUGGCAUAGAAGUUAUGAACCUUGAUGAUUCAGGUGAGAGGCCACUCAGAAGGUUGCUUGGUGUGACUUCGUCCGACGGCGCGACGUUGCGUAGUUCAAUUAGAAGACUUUGAUGUUGUUGGUAGUGUGCUGGUUAGGUAGCAGAUUUGGCUUACUUUGAUUUUUAGGUGUGUGCUGUGAGCGGUCGGCCGUAUGUCUUCUUAUGUGUUAUGGUUGACUUGGCAAGUAUUACGUGUUGAGUAAUUUUGGUUGAGUCCGUGUGGAGUUCUGUAUGUAGUCCAUGUAUGUGUCUUAUUUGUAUCUGCGUGUUCACGUUUGACUCUUUGUUUUUGACGCUGUGUUCACGUUUGGAAUUGGAUGCACGUGAGCUUCCGUAUCUUCAACGGUUUAUCCCUAA